CCUACGGGUGGCAGCAGUGAGGAAUAUUGGUCAAUGGGCUUACGCCUGAACCAGCCAAGUAGCGUGCAGGAUGACGGCCCUAUGGGUUGUAAACCUCUUUUGUCAGGGAGCAAAGCCGGCUACGUGUAGCCGGACUGAGAGUACCUGAAGAAAAAGCAUUGGCUAACUCCGUGCCAGCAGCCGCGGUAAUACGGAGGAUGCGAGCGUUACCCGGAUUGUUUGGGUGUAAAGGGGGCGCAGCCGGCGAUGCAAGCCAGGAGUGAAAGCCCGGGGCCCAACCCCGGGACUGCUGUUGGAACUGGGUGGCUGGAGUGCAGGAGGGGUAGGCGGAAUUCCUGGUGUAGCGGUGAAAUGCGUAGAUAUCAGGAGGAACACCGGUGGCGAAGGCAGCCUGCUGGACUGCAACUGACGUUGAGGCCCGAAAGCGUGGGGAGCAAACAGGAUUAGAUACCCGAGUAGUC
Molecule: ribosomal RNA, 461 nt
Filed under: uncultured bacterium
Lineage: Bacteria
Description: partial 16S ribosomal RNA
Rfam family: Bacterial small subunit ribosomal RNA
Source: RNAcentral